CACAGCCCCCACAUUACUGUGAAACUAGUUAAGAGCAGGAAAACUAGCAAUAGGUUCCAAAGAACUAGUAUUGCUUUCGACAGACUUGGACAUUUAACACUCUCCUGAUAAUCUGAUCGAAGAAUUGUGUUUAGUUACUACGAGCAGGCGAGUUUCGGUGCUUAACUUGUUAGCUGUGCUAAUCCAGGUGCUGUUUUACCGGUUAGCACAACAUCAGGCUAGUCCGGUGUCGAGCCAUUCAAGUCCAGACUAGAGCCCUUUCAUAGCACUAAAUAAACCGUGACAACGCAUUGAAUAUGGCGAAAGUACAGAGUUACACGAAUGAAUGAAUUGUAUCGCAGCUGAAUGAAGUGU
Sinocyclocheilus rhinocerous is the source of this 354-nucleotide long non-coding RNA. RefSeq lists it as uncharacterized. Lineage: Eukaryota; Metazoa; Chordata; Actinopteri; Cypriniformes; Cyprinidae. The transcript has 3 exons. The record is from RefSeq and is a predicted model, not a curated record.